Molecule: long non-coding RNA, 1572 nt
Organism: Caretta caretta (loggerhead turtle)
Lineage: Eukaryota; Metazoa; Chordata; Testudines; Cheloniidae
Source: RefSeq, a predicted model, not a curated record
CCGGCCCCGCCCCCUCUGCUUGGCCCGGUCGUGAGGAGUGGCGACGAAAGCAGCCGCCUUCCGCCCCGUACCGGGCUGAGCUGUGGGUGCAGCUGCUGGGGCUUGUGGCCAGCGUAGGGCGGCUCCAUAAUGGGGAAGCGGGUGCCUCCCUGUCCCCACAGGCAGGAGCGGCAGCAGGGAUGCUGCAGCUAAGAGUCUAGAGCACAGUCCUGCAGUACAGCCUGGACCACAUCUUCUGCAGCAAAGUUCCUGUCUGUGGAGUGGAGCUGAUUAUCAUCACCCUUGGGCUACUUUGUCCUAGUGCAAAGGAUCCAGGGGUACAAGGUGAUGUGGAACAAGACUCCCCCAGCAGGAUGGCACAGCGAGACACAAUGCCACAGAUUAAGUAGCUGCCGCAUGCACCACCCCCUUUCUGGGCUAGCUCUUCCACUUGGGUUUGAAGACCAGGUCUCAACAACAGGCCCACUUGUUGCUCCACACCCGCUAGGGUGGCUGAUGGCACCAUAAAUAAGGCUACCUUUUAGUCACAGCUAUUUGUAGUAAAAGUCACGGACAGGUCACAGACUGUGAAUUUUUGUUUACUGCCUGUCCGUGACUUUUACUACAAAUACCCGUGACUAAAACUUGGGCAGGGGACUGUGGGUGCUUUGGGGGGUGCACUCUGGGGGUGUUGCGGGUGCUGGGGGAACUGGCCCAGGGCACCCCGCUGGGGGUGGGGGCCAGGCAGUGUGGCCCGGGACCCUCCCUGUUGCUGGGGGGGGAAGGGUUGGCGGGGCUGGCAGGGGCUCCCUACCUGGCUCCACGUCCCUGCAGCUCCUAGGCAGCGGAGGGGUCAGGAGGCUCUGUGCGCUGCUCCUGCCACAAGCACCAGCUGCUGCAGCUCCCAUUGGCUGCAAACCGCAGCCAAUGGGAGCUGAUGGGGAGGGGCCCGUGGGCAUGAGCAGCAUGCAGCGCGGAGCCUUCCUCUGGCCCCUUCUCCACCUAGGAGCUGCAGGGACAUGCCCCUUCCUCAACCCGUUGGCCAUCGCCCCCUCCCACACACCCAAACUGCUGCUGCUGGCUCUGGGGCUGUCUGGUUUGGGCAGCCCCUGAGCCAGCAGCUGCAGAAGUCAUGGAGGUCACAGAAAGUCACGGAAUCCGUGACUUCUGUGACCUCUGUGAAAGACUCAUAGACUUAAACAUAAACAACAUUAGCUUUCUGCCUGUUACCCACCCACACUGUCUGUGCAUAACCUUGACCCCUAGGGUUUUAUCUCUGAAUCUGUUACAAAUCUUGAUUUCUUCAGUCAUUACAUUUUGAAUAAAUAAUAGAAUCUGAGGAUUUGAAGGAAAAAAAUCAUGAGUGCAAAACUCCAAGUCAGUCAACACUUAAGUCUUGAAAAUAAACAGCAAUAUUUUCCAUGAAAAUACGUGACAACAAAUUUGUAAUCUUUGCUUGCUUAUUUUAAAAAUACACUGCCAGAAAUGUUAGAGCUGGUAAAGAUGCAUUGGCAGAGCUGUGGGAAACUAAAAGGUUUCAUCUUGUGUGUUCUUUAAAUCUGUGCUAAAGUGUUAAAAGUGUCAAGGACCUUU